RNAcentral lists this microRNA precursor (145 nucleotides) under Hordeum vulgare. Its description in RNAcentral is "miR6195 stem-loop (hvu-MIR6195)". Lineage: Eukaryota; Viridiplantae; Streptophyta; Magnoliopsida; Poales; Poaceae. The record is from miRBase by way of RNAcentral.
GCGCCGUGCAUGAGUACGUAGUAGGGAUGAGGAUCGUAACGCCUGCACCGGCCAGCCAGGGAUUUGCCGUGGUCAGGGAGCUCAGCAUCGGGGACCCUGACCUCGACGCGGUCAAGGUCUCCCUCGGCGUCCUCGGCGUCGUGUC